Molecule: non-coding RNA, 520 nt
Organism: Malus domestica (apple)
Lineage: Eukaryota; Viridiplantae; Streptophyta; Magnoliopsida; Rosales; Rosaceae
Source: RefSeq, a predicted model, not a curated record
AUAAUUCUGCCUUGCAACAUUCCGAAGAAUAGUCCCAUGCUUGAGGCAGAUGCUGAAAAAUUGUUGGUUCAGAAGCUAAUCAAUCUUGGGUACACAAGGCCAAAGUCCGAAGGAUUCUAGUCGUAGCUGGGGCUUUUUGAUUCUGCUGGAUAUGAGGAAUGUUUACUAGUCGUAAAGUUGACACUUUUCGCGGACUAUGGUGUUAUUAAACAUGCAUCAGGCUAUGGUUCACUUGCAAGGAAUGAGUAUCAUUCUCACAUGGUUUACAAAGAGGAGUGGAAUUGGAAGGAAAGAGUUUAUGUGGUUCAAAUUCGUUUUUGGCGAAAAUUGGACCUAAGAUCUCUCACUUAUAAGUGAAGAUGAAUAUUACAUCGUAGUACUAAGUGACCAAGCACUUACUAACAUAGGGAAUGAAUAAAUAAGUGGAUAUCUUGUUGAUUUUGGUACGACAUACCUGAAAAAUUAAGGUAUGGGAUAAUCACGGGGUGGUGGGUGUUUAUCCCAUUCCCAUUCUUUCUCA